Molecule: ribosomal RNA, 253 nt
Filed under: uncultured bacterium
Lineage: Bacteria
Description: partial 16S ribosomal RNA
Rfam family: Bacterial small subunit ribosomal RNA
Source: RNAcentral
UACGUAGGGCGCAAGCGUUGUCCGGAAUUAUUGGGCGUAAAGAGCGUGUAGGCGGCCAGGCAGGUCCGCUGUGAAAACUCGAGGCUCAACCUCGAGAGGUCGGUGGAAACCGUCUGGCUAGAGUCCGGAAGAGGAGAGUGGAAUUCCCGGUGUAGCGGUGAAAUGCGCAGAUAUCGGGAAGAACACCCGUGGCGAAGGCGGCUCUCUGGGACGGUACUGACGCUGAGACGCGAAAGCGUGGGGAGCGAACAGG